This 498-nucleotide ribosomal RNA is filed under the name uncultured bacterium. RNAcentral describes it as "partial 16S ribosomal RNA". It matches the Rfam family "Bacterial small subunit ribosomal RNA", at positions 30 to 523 of the family's 1533-position model. The record is from RNAcentral.
AUUGAACGCUGGCGGCAGGCCUAACACAUGCAAGUCGAGCGGUAGCAGGCCUUCGGGUGCUGACGAGCGGCGGACGGGUGAGGAAUGCAUAGGAAUCUGCCUAUUAGUGGGGGAUAACACGGGGAAACUCGUGCUAAUACCGCAUACGUCCUACGGGAGAAAGUGGGGGAUCUUCGGACCUCACGCUAAUAGAUGAGCCUAUGCCGGAUUAGCUAGUUGGUAGGGUAAAGGCCUACCAAGGCGACGAUCCGUAGCUGGUCUGAGAGGAUGAUCAGCCACACUGGGACUGAGACACGGCCCAGACUCCUACGGGAGGCAGCAGUGGGGAAUAUUGGACAAUGGGCGCAAGCCUGAUCCAGCCAUGCCGUGUGUGUGAAGAAGGCCUUCGGGUUGUAAAGCACUUUAAGUGGGGAGGAAGGUCAGUAGAAUAAUACUCUGCUGAAUUGACGUUACCCACAGAAUAAGCACCGGCUAACUCUGUGCCAGCCGCCGCGGUAA